GAUGAACGCUAGCGGCAGGCCUAACACAUGCAAGUCGAGGGGUAGCAGGAUUAAGCUUGCUUAAUUGCUGACGACCGGCGCACGGGUGCGUAACGCGUAUGCAACCUACCUUAUACUGGGGUAUAGCCCGGAGAAAUUCGGAUUAAUCCCCCAUAGUACUAAUGAAUCGCAUGGUUUAUUAGUUAAAGCAUUGCGGUAUAAGAUGGGCAUGCGUCCCAUUAGCUAGAUGGUGAGGUAACGGCUCACCAUGGCUACGAUAGGUAGGGGGCCUGAGAGGGUGGUCCCCCACACUGGUACUGAGACACGGACCAGACUCCUACGGGAGGCAGCAGUGAGGAAUAUUGGUCAAUGGGCGCAAGCCUGAACCAGCCAUGCCGCGUGCAGGAAGAAUGCCCUAUGGGUUGUAAACUGCUUUUAUUUGGGAAUAAACCUCUUUACGUGUAGAGAGCUGAAGGUACCAAAUGAAUAAGCACCUGCUAACUCCGUGCCAGCCGCCGCGGUAA
This 503-nucleotide ribosomal RNA is filed under the name uncultured bacterium. RNAcentral describes it as "partial 16S ribosomal RNA". It matches the Rfam family "Bacterial small subunit ribosomal RNA", at positions 28 to 523 of the family's 1533-position model. The record is from RNAcentral.